GUCUGUGAUGCCCUUAGAUGUUCUGGGCCGCACGCGCGCUACACUGAUAAAGCCAGCGAGUAUUCGCCUUGACCGGAAGGUCUGGGUAAUCUUUUGAAACUUUAUCGUGAUGGGGAUUGAGCAUUGCAAUUAUUGCUCAUGAACGAGGAAUUCCUAGUAAGCGCGAGUCAUCAGCUCGCGUUGAUUACGUCCCUGCCCUUUGUACACACCGCCCGUCGAUACUACCGAUUGAAUGGCUUAGUGAGACCUUUGGAUGGAGCUUCUUGCCGCGAGGCGUUGAGGCACCAGAAAUUGUUCAAACUUAUCCAUUUAGAGGAAGUAAAAGUCGUAACAAGGUUUCCGUAGGUGAACCUGCGGAAGGAUCAUUAACAAAUCAUUUGCUCUGGAGGCACCGUUCGCGGACCCCCAUUUGCAAUUUACUCGUCUUGGGGAAGGCCGUCAAGGGUGGCUCUUUCCUCUCCGGAGGUUUGGCCACUAAUACCGAUGCGCUGGACCCUCUUGACACAAUACUUACUUUCACAAUUGACAACUACUGGGAACCGAGUAGACAUGCAUAGCAUGUUUGCUUUAUAACCAAAACAACUUUUAACAAUGGAUCUCUUGGCUCUUGCAACGAUGAAGAACGCAGCGAACUGCGAAACGUAAUGUGACCUGCACUCUUCGUGAAUCAUCCAAUCUUUGAACGCAAUUUGCACCUCGUGGCUUCUUGUCACAAGGUAUACUUGUUUGAGUAUCAUAAACAUCCUCACCUCCCCGAAAGGGCGAAGUGGAUUUGGGGGUUCGUCAACACGCUUAGCUGGUGACGUCCUCUAAAAUGCAAAGCUCGAUUUUGGAAGGUCUCCGUUUGGCUUGACUAGGCUAUUGGGAUAAUAUCCCCUGCAAUCGCCGGUCUUGCCUCCUCGACGUUGACCAUCCUGAGCUAACAAGGAAGCCCUGUUGGCCCGUCAUGGGUCCCCAGCGGUUCCACAUUGUGUUGGUCGGGUAUAAUGCAUACGCGCCGCAUAAUUUUGAUAUUGAUCUCAAAUCAAGUAAGGGUACCCGCUGAACUUAA
Molecule: ribosomal RNA, 1051 nt
Filed under: uncultured fungus
Lineage: Eukaryota; Fungi
Description: bacterial SSU rRNA
Rfam family: Eukaryotic small subunit ribosomal RNA (bases 1-368)
Source: RNAcentral